Molecule: long non-coding RNA, 1123 nt
Filed under: Phoenix dactylifera (date palm)
Lineage: Eukaryota; Viridiplantae; Streptophyta; Magnoliopsida; Arecales; Arecaceae
Description: long non-coding RNA (PDAC_LNC013000)
Source: RNAcentral
CAUGCAACAAAACCAUAAAAAUUGAAUUUAAAUCAAAGGAAUAUGUCAACAGAAAUUAGCUAAAAGGCAGUACAGAAGAUAUAAUAUAAUGUACUACAGAAUAUCAUCAAAUCAUGAUUGUGUUUUGAUUGUCUAUUGCUUACUUUUUUCUUUCGUAUUAUGUUUUGCCUAAACAAACUCUGUUUAUGCAUAUAGGCAUGCUUGAUUAACUUUGUUUGAGUUGGAUUUGUUUGUGCUUGAUAACCUAUUUUGCAGUUCAAAUUUCCCUUUCUUUUUGGAAAAUAAUGACUGUAGCGCAACCUAUCCGAAUCCGUGAAUAAUGACUGGACCUUCCAAGUAAACGGCUCCAUUAUUUGGUUGACUGAGUCGAACCACAUGGGACAAGGGGGACAAGGUUCUCGUGGUCCUUAGCACCGGCAUUUGUAGAAGGAGGCAGCUCCCAUUCUUUUCUCGUCCUUCUUUCUAUCUCGGCUAGACUUUCAAAUUCUUUUAUAGUGGAGUCGUUAGAAAAAACUUCGACGAUGCGGCUGCCAUCCUUUUCUCGUCCUCCUUCCUACCUCUUUCGUCUGUCUAGAGACUUCCAAACUCUUUUAUGCUCACCGGCAUUUGUAGAAGGACGUGGGUGAGUCGUUGGAAAGAACUUCGACGACGCGGCUCCUAUCCUUUUCUCGUCCUCCUUCCUAUCUCUUUCGCCUGGCUAGACUUCCAGACUCUUUUAUCUCACCGGCAUUUGUAGAAGGGGGCGGGGGAGUCAGUUGGAAAACGCGACUCUCAUACUUUUCUUGUCCUCCUUCCUAUCUCUUUCGCUUGGCUAGACUUCUAGACUUACUCUUUAUUCCUGGCUCAGGCUAGUUUGCUGCUCAAGAAAACUCGAGAUGAUUUUCGGAACCUCUUUUUCUCCCUCAGAAGACAAGAAGGAGGAUGAUUGGCUUCACAACUCUUCCUUUCCUUUGGAUGAUUGGCUAUGCAACUGUUUAUCCUGCUUCGCCAAGACUCCUUGAAUAAAAACCUCCAACUAUUCAGGGAUUUGUAGAGUCGGAUUGGUUUGAUCGUUUCUGAGUUGAGGGUCGCCUAAGAAGUCUCUUACUGUACUGGGGACCGGUUGGUUGGGCCAGGAAGUCUC